This 557-nucleotide ribosomal RNA is filed under the name Rhodotorula graminis. RNAcentral describes it as "eukaryotic LSU rRNA". It matches the Rfam family "Eukaryotic large subunit ribosomal RNA", at positions 83 to 652 of the family's 3401-position model. Lineage: Eukaryota; Fungi; Basidiomycota; Microbotryomycetes; Sporidiobolales; Sporidiobolaceae. The record is from RNAcentral.
GUAGCGGCGAGCGAAGCGGGAAGAGCUCAAAUUUAUAAUCUGGCACCUUCGGUGUCCGAGUUGUAAUCUCUAGAAGUGUUUUCCGCGUUGGACCGCACACAAGUCUGUUGGAAUACAGCGGCAUAGUGGUGAAACCCCCGUAUAUGGUGCGGACGCCCAGCGCUUUGUGAUACACUUUCAAUGAGUCGAGUUGUUUGGGAAUGCAGCUCAAAUUGGGUGGUAAAUUCCAUCUAAAGCUAAAUAUUGGCGAGAGACCGAUAGCGAACAAGUACCGUGAGGGAAAGAUGAAAAGCACUUUGGAAAGAGAGUUAACAGUACGUGAAAUUGUUGGAAGGGAAACGCUUGAAGUCAGACUUGCUUGCCGGAGCUUGCUUCGGUUUGCAGGCCAGCAUCAGUUUUCCGGGGUGGAUAAUGACGGUUUGAAGGUAGCAGUCUCGGCUGUGUUAUAGCUUUCCGUUGGAUACAUCCUGGGGGACUGAGGAACGCAGCGUGCUUUUUGCGAAAGACUCGUCUUUUUCACGCUUAGGAUGCUGGUGGAAUGGCUUUAAACGACCCGU